This 1637-nucleotide long non-coding RNA is filed under the name Equus asinus (donkey). Its description in RNAcentral is "lncRNA (ENSEASG00005027105.1)". Lineage: Eukaryota; Metazoa; Chordata; Mammalia; Perissodactyla; Equidae. The record is from RNAcentral.
GGCCCCAAGUCUCUGCGCGGCCAGCGAGAGGCCCAUAGUCGGAAACCCAGCCAGGCUCAGAGUUACACUAAGCUCGUCCCUGGAUACAUACCUGGAGGAACUCAGGAUAGGGGGCUCUGGACACAGGAUUGCAAAGCAGGCGACCAAACACUUAGGGAGAAACCUGAGGCACCAAAGGGUGGAGGCACCUUGCACACACUGCUCUGCGAGGGGAGAGACACGGCGGACCCGCACUGCCGCUACCCAGUGAUCGCGGCCCCGAUUUGAGGGGCUCACAGCCGGGAGCAGCCGGGCACAGGGCUGUUGAGACAAGACUGGAGUCUGAAGGAGAAAGGGACCCUGAAGUCACUCGGGCGGCAGCUUCCACUAAUGCUCCUGCCCGCGGUGAGCGGAGCUGGGUGAAGAGACUGCUUUGGAGAACCCUCCACAGGCAAACCGCAGCGCCACACUCUUUUGGGGACCAUCGCUCCCGGGCCCCAGAUUUGAAGUUUCAAGUCCCUCAAUCCCACCCUCAUUCUGGCCCUUUGAUCUCCAUCUUCCCGCUGACCCAGGAGCCCCUCCAGUCUUGCCGUGAAGAGCCGCCCAGCCUCACCCCCACGGCACCUGGCCGCGGGGCCGAGCCCGCCGCCCCGCCGCACUGCGCCUGCGCGGAGAGAGCCGCGGACACUCCCACAAGCCCCUGCGGCGCGCCCCCUCGGUCCGCCCGGUCGCCCCCGGGUCCGCUGGCCCAGCCGUCAGCCUGGCGUGUGGAAACGCCUCUUUCCGCCUUGCUGAGGGGAGAAAGACCACUUUUUAAUUUUGUUUCCUGGUCUGCGACAAUGGAAGUGCCCGCAGCCUCUCUCCUGCCGCUGUAGAAGCUCGGCCGUCCCGCGGAGCUCCUGGAGGGGCGGGCCGGGAUGACUUCUCCUCCCUCGCACGUCGGGGUCGGGCUCCUUUGGGGGUUGGGGACUGAGAGUGCGAAGAGGUAUCGGUGUCUCCCUCGUGGCCUGUCGCUCUCUGGGAUGUCACCGCGCUGGUUCCCACUGACGGCUGCACAGGCGCCUCUGGCGGGCAGGCGUUCUAAGGCAGGGUGGCGCGGCGCCGGUCUGGGCGGCCCUCCCUCCCGCACGGUCCUCUGAUGGGUGGCUCCACCCCAGUGUGACCUCUUCCACCCUCUGGGUCCACCCCUCCCCCAGAUAGUGUGCUUAAUGUGGUAGCCACUUGGCCGCCCCUCUCUGCCUUGCUGUCUCCAUACAGGCUUCCAGGAGCUUCUUGCAAGUAGCCCCAGUCUCUGUGGGGGGAAUCUCUUGGAAUCCUUACUUGAUUUUUGGAGAGAAACACCAGGGCACUCUCCCCCAGGGCUGAUUCAUGACGCUUGUGAUUCCCAUUCCGCCCCUCCAACCAAUCUUCUAGUUAUAUGAGGUUGAGGGGAUGGGUGGAGCAGGUCUGGAAAGAUGGUUGAGGAUGCAGAAGUCGGUUUGGUUACUUUUUACUAAGUCGUGGAAGUGGAGAAGUUGCCUGGCCCCCAAUUAUUUGUGGCUUUAAAAAAAAUAAAUAAUGUAGGGUAUUUGAUGCUCCUCACUUGUUGAUCCUAGUUUCCAUCCUGGGCUAAAGGAGAAAUCCUGCUUAAGAUCUGUUAGAGUUAGAGUUACAUCAUG